CCCUUAGAUGUUCUGGGCCGCACACGCGCUACACUGAAGGAGGCAGCGUGUACUCCUGGAUCGAAAGAUUUGGGUAACCCGCGAAUCUCCUUCGUGCUAGGGAUUGAGGUUUGCAAUUAUCCUUCAUGAACGAGGAAUUCCCAGUAAGUGCAAGUCAUAAGCUUGCGCUGACUACGUCCCUGCCCUUUGUACACACCGCCCGUCGCUACUACCGAUUGAAUGAUUUAGUGAGGACUUCGGACUGGGACCGAUGCGGCUUUCGGGCUGCGUCGGUAUUCUGGAAAGAUGCCCAAACUGUAUCAUUUAGAGGAAGUAAAAGUCGUANCA
This 327-nucleotide ribosomal RNA is filed under the name uncultured eukaryote. RNAcentral's name for it is "partial 18S ribosomal RNA". It matches the Rfam family "Eukaryotic small subunit ribosomal RNA", at positions 1470 to 1796 of the family's 1831-position model. The record is from RNAcentral.